Molecule: non-coding RNA, 26 nt
Filed under: Rattus norvegicus (Norway rat)
Lineage: Eukaryota; Metazoa; Chordata; Mammalia; Rodentia; Muridae
Source: RNAcentral
CAUGCUCACAGUGUCCCAUCGUGUCU